AAAGAUUAAGCCAUGCAUGUCUAAGUAUAAGCAACUAUACAGUGAAACUGCGAAUGGCUCAUUAAAUCAGUUAUCGUUUAUUUGAUAGUACCUUACUACUUGGAUAACCGUGGUAAUUCUAGAGCUAAUACAUGCUAAAAAUCCCGACCUCUGGAAGGGAUGUAUUUAUUAGAUAAAAAACCAAUGCCCUCGGGCUUCUUGGUGAUUCAUGAUAACUUAACGAAUCGCAUGGCCUUGCGCCGGCGAUGGUUCAUUCAAAUUUCUGCCCUAUCAACUUUCGAUGGUAGGAUAGUGGCCUACCAUGGUUUCAACGGGUAACGGGGAAUUAGGGUUCUAUUCCGGAGAGGGAGCCUGAGAAACGGCUACCACAUCCAAGGAAGGCAGCAGGCGCGCAAAUUACCCAAUCCCGACACGGGGAGGUAGUGACAAUAAAUACUGAUACAGGGCUCUUUCGGGUCUUGUAAUUGGAAUGAGUACAAUUUAAAUCCCUUAACGAGGAACAAUUGGAGG
This 510-nucleotide ribosomal RNA is filed under the name Orbilia dorsalia. RNAcentral describes it as "SSU rRNA". It matches the Rfam family "Eukaryotic small subunit ribosomal RNA", at positions 39 to 554 of the family's 1831-position model. The record is from RNAcentral. Lineage: Eukaryota; Fungi; Ascomycota; Orbiliomycetes; Orbiliales; Orbiliaceae.